UGUAACUGUAUAUUACGUAUGCUGGAUGCUUUAAAGCAAAUGAAUUGUGGUGAUAAAGUGUGUCUAAGUUACAGUACACGAUAAAUAUGCAAUUGCAUGAUCAUGAUAUUAUCUUCAGACAUGAGAUAACAUUUGUAGCAGCUCACUUGCUUCACAAGGUAAAGUUAAUACACCCUUUUGUUCAAAUCCAAAUUCUCUUUCUGCCGCUUCCAGCAACCUGACAAAAGGAGGAUAUGAAAGCAAGUGCAACCCCACCAGGAACUUCUUCGACUCACCAUUGCCACAAGUCACGACUGAGAAAUGACCGCUCUUGGUGCCACAACUAGUCAUCCAAGACCUUAUGUCCCUACUGAUGAGCAUGCAUUCAGCUGCAGACGUAUUUAAAAAAUGAUUGGUGAGAGAUAAAACAAUCACGAGGGCCCUAUUGGCGGGGGCUGAAAGGAACGGGGCGAGGAGGAGGAGGAGACAGCCAUGUCGAUGUGGUGCUCUCGAGAGAAUGUUCGUGGACUUCCUUCGACAUGAAGCAUUUAAGAAGUGAAGGAACACUGACUUUGAACUACAAGCCAAAAGGGUGCAUGAAUGUAGCAUGAGUGAUGUCGCAAUUGCGUUUAUGGCAAUGGCUAACUGCCAACCUGGCCCUCUUUAUGACGAGUUAUGGCAACUGUUUGCAAUCUCCUUUCCA
Long non-coding RNA from Salvia splendens (bonfire salvia), 682 nucleotides. RefSeq lists it as uncharacterized. The record is from RefSeq and is a predicted model, not a curated record. NCBI's taxonomy places the organism in Eukaryota, Viridiplantae, Streptophyta, Magnoliopsida, Lamiales, Lamiaceae. The transcript is spliced from 2 exons.